CCUCAGGUGCUUUUCUUCCCACAAAUCUUUAGAAAAAAGAAAGAAAUGAAAAGAAAAAGAACGAAAGACAAAAGAAAUGAAGGAAAAAAAAAUUGAACAAUCUAUGCGGAAAAACAUCUACCCUUUUAAUUUUUCCACCUUUCCUUUGCUUUAGUUGAUUUUCUAUGAUUUUCCUCUAUUUUUUCCAUUCUCAGGAGUCUCAAUCAGAUGGGAGUCUCCGAACUCUUCACCCUGCUCUCCUUAAUGCCACCUCCUGUCAAUCUCUGCCUUCGCCUUCUUCUCCA
RNAcentral lists this long non-coding RNA (284 nucleotides) under Elaeis guineensis (African oil palm). RNAcentral describes it as "long non-coding RNA (EGUI_LNC072005)". Lineage: Eukaryota; Viridiplantae; Streptophyta; Magnoliopsida; Arecales; Arecaceae. The record is from RNAcentral.